UUUGAGGUUUGAUGGUUGGAAUGCACUCUUUAUAUGACCAAAUGGCUACUGUAAAAAUCUUGGAUUAAGAAAUUUUUCAUUUUGGUUGGUUUUCAAGCUAGCCAAGUUUGGUGGUGAGACUAGGCUAGGUCGGUGCAUGGGGCCAAGAUUUGGGAAAUUUUCAGAGUGUUGGUUUUUGAGGUUUGAUUGUUGGAAUGCACUCUUUAUAUGUCCAAAUGGCUACGAUAAAAAACUUGGUGCAAGAAAAAUUUCAUUCUGGUUGGUUUUCAAGCUACCGAAGUUUGGUGGUGAGACUUGGCUAGGUCCGUGCAUGGGGCCAACAUUUAAGAAAUUUUAAAAGUUUUAACUUUUGAGGUUUGAUGGUUGGAUUGCACACUUUAUAUGAGCAAAAGGCUACAGCAAAAAUCUUGGUGCAAGAAAAUUUUCAUUUUGGUGGGUUUUCAAGGUAGCCAUGUUUGGUCGUGAGACUUGGCUAGGUCGAUGCUCGGGGCCAAGAUUUUCAAAAUUUUAAAAGUGGUGGUUUUUGAGGUUUUAUUGUUGGAAUUCACUCUUUAUAUGACGAAAUGGCUACGGUAAAAAAUCUUGGUGCAACAAGAUUUUCAUUUUGGUGGGUUCUCAAGCUAGCCAAGUUUGGUGGUGAGACUUGGGUAGGUCGGUGCGUGGGGCCAAGAUUUUCGAAAUUUUCAAAGUUGUGGUUUUUGAGGUUUGAUAGUUGGAAUUCAGUCUUUAUAUGACGAAAUGGCUAUGGUAAAAAAUCUUUGUGCAACAAGAUAUUCAUUUUGGUGGGUUUUCAAGCUAGCCAAGUUUGGUGGUGAGGCUUGGCGAGGUCGGUGCAUGGGGCCAAGAUUUGGGAAAUUUUCAAAGUGUUGGUUUUUGAGGUUUGAUCGUUGGAGUGCAUCUUUAUAUGACCAAAUGGCUACGAUAAAAAUCUUGGUGCAAGAAAUAUUUCAUUCUAGUUGGUUUUCAAGCUACCCAAGUUUGCUGGUGAGACUUGGCUAGGUUCGUGCAUGGGUUUUAAAAGUGUUAAUUUUUGACGUUUGAUGGUUGGAAUGCACUCUUUAUAUGACCAAAUGGCUACUGUAAAAAUCUUGCUGCAAGAAAUUUUUCAUUUUGGAUGGUUUUCAAGGAAGCCAAGUUUGGUGGUGAGACUUGGCUAGGUUGGUGCAUGGGGCCAAGAUUUGGGAAAUUUUCAAAGUGUUUGAUUUUAGGUUUGAUGGUUGGAAUGCACUCUUUAUAUGACCAAAUGGCUAGUGUAAAAAUCUUGGUGCAACAAAUUUUUCAUUUUGGUGGGUUUUCAAGCUAGCCAACCUUGGUGGUGAGACUUGGAUUGGUUGGUGCAUGGGGCUAAGAUUUGGGAAAUUUUCAAAGUGUUGGUUUUUGAGGUUUGAUGGUUGGAACGCACUCUUUAUAUGACCAAAUGGCUACUGUAAAAAUCUUUGUUUAAGAAAUUUUUCAUUUUGGUUGGUUUUCAAGGUAGCCAAGUUUGGUGGUGAGACUUGGCUAGGUCGAGGCAUGGGGCCAAGAUUUGGGAAAUUUUAAAAGUGUUG
This 1547-nucleotide long non-coding RNA is filed under the name Vigna radiata. RNAcentral's name for it is "long non-coding RNA (VRAD_LNC012731)". The record is from RNAcentral. Lineage: Eukaryota; Viridiplantae; Streptophyta; Magnoliopsida; Fabales; Fabaceae.